This 230-nucleotide ribosomal RNA is filed under the name uncultured microorganism. Its description in RNAcentral is "partial 16S ribosomal RNA". It matches the Rfam family "Bacterial small subunit ribosomal RNA", at positions 524 to 753 of the family's 1533-position model. The record is from RNAcentral.
UACGGAGGAUCCGAGCGUUAUCCGGAUUUAUUGGGUUUAAAGGGAGCGUAGAUGGGUUGUUAAGUCAGUUGUGAAAGUUUGCGGCUCAACCGUAAAAUUGCAAUUGAUACUGGCAGUCUUGAGUACAGUUGAGGUAGGCGGAAUUCGUGGUGUAGCGGUGAAAUGCUUAGAUAUCACGAAGAACCCCGAUUGCGAAGGCAGCUUACUAAACUGUGACUGACAUUGAUGCU